Molecule: ribosomal RNA, 324 nt
Filed under: uncultured Lactobacillus sp.
Lineage: Bacteria; Bacillati; Bacillota; Bacilli; Lactobacillales; Lactobacillaceae
Description: bacterial SSU rRNA
Rfam family: Bacterial small subunit ribosomal RNA
Source: RNAcentral
UCACUCUUGGAUGGACCUGCGGUGCAUUAGCGUAGUUGGUAGGGGUAAACGGGCCUACCAAGGCGAUGAUGCAUAGCCGAGUUGAGAGACUGAUCGGCCACAUUGGGACUGAGACACGGCCCAAACGUCCUACGGGAGGCAGCAGUAGGGAAUCUUCCACAAUGGACGCAAGUCUGAUGGAGCAACGCCGCGUGAGUGAAGAAGGGUUUCGGCUCGUAAAGCUCUGUUGUUGGUGAAGAAGGACAGGGGGUAGUAACUGACCUUUGUUUGACGGUAAUCAAUUAGAAAGUCACGGCUAACUACGUGCCAGCAGCCGCGGUAAAU